Molecule: ribosomal RNA, 378 nt
Filed under: uncultured bacterium
Lineage: Bacteria
Description: bacterial SSU rRNA
Rfam family: Bacterial small subunit ribosomal RNA
Source: RNAcentral
UAAUACGUAGGGGGCGAGCGUUGUCCGAAGUUACUGGGCGUAAAGCGCGCGUAGGCGGCUUUUUAAGUCUGGGGUGAAAGGUUCUGCGCUUAACGUGAACAGUGCCCUGGAGACUGGAAGGCUUGAGUGUGGGAGGGGGCAGUGGAAUUCCUGGUGUAGCGGUGAAAUGCGUAGAUAUCAGGAGGAACACCGAUGGCGAAGGCAGCUGCCUGGCCUAACACUGACGCUGAGGUGCGAAAGCGUGGGGAGCGAACGGGAUUAGAUACCCCGGUAGUCCACGCCGUAAACGAUGAGUGCUAGGUGUUCGGGGUAUCGACCCCCCGGGUGCCGCCGCUAACGCAGUAAGCACUCCGCCUGGGGAGUACGGCCGCAAGGUUG